RNA transcript from Vigna radiata var. radiata (mung bean), 5956 nucleotides. RefSeq lists it as uncharacterized. Lineage: Eukaryota; Viridiplantae; Streptophyta; Magnoliopsida; Fabales; Fabaceae. The record is from RefSeq and is a predicted model, not a curated record. The transcript has 7 exons.
UUUUCCAUCUUUUGCAAUAUUUGACGCUCACUCUCUUUCGAGAUAUGUUAUUCACUCUUGUUCUCGUCGUUGCACUUCAUCUUCAAGGUUUCUCACCAUUGUCGGCAUCAAGGGGCCACCUGCUCCUCCACUGCUAAACCUUCGUGAGCCGCCGUACGUCAUUCGAUGACCAUUCCUCCUCUGCAGUAGCCACCGCGAGCACCUCCUUGUUGCGCCUCACCUAGGGUUCUAACCGCAGUGCGCUAGCCCGCGACCUCUGUGCCUUCCCUAGGUCAUUCUCAACAAUUCAAUGGGAGUACGUAACUGAAUCGUCAAUUCUCGAUCCAAAAUCGACAAUGUCUUAGGGUUUGGGUUGGAAGAGACCUUCGGAGAUCUUCCACCUCACUCUCAGCUAUGGCACCGACGAUCUGCUGGAGAAUAUCGCUCGUACUUCAUCCUUUUCCCGGUCCUCCUUUUCCUCUUCUUCGUUGUCUUCAUCCGCUUCCACUUCCUCAAUCAUCUCCCAGGAUCAGGAGCUCAGGUUUCGCAUUGAAUUGGAUUGGUCGGCGUCAGCGGACGAGGACCAGGUGGCGUUAAAGCUUCAAUCGUAGCUGAUGGUGGCGCUACCGAUGCUGUGGGAGACGGUGGUGGUUGAGCUCUCGCCUCGGGACGAUGAUGAGAACGUGGUGGAUUUGGGAAUGAAGGUUGUUAAGCGACGAGAGCCUCUCAGAUCGUCGAAGAUGCCGCCGUUGUCGCUCUGGCAACCACUGGACCAGUCUCUCUAUUCUGAGCCUAUGUAGUUGUGGCUUGUCGAUUCAAUUCGAGAUAUUUGUUGGAACCUACACGCCGUAAGCAAUUCAGUUUGGAAGAAUUUGAGAAUUUCUUGCUCUCUCGCUUCUCCAAGGAUGUUAAGGUAAUUUUCUGAAUCACAGUCAAACCGUAGAGGGAAGGUUUUGAAUUUGAACAAUUUUGGGAUUUGUUAGGAGGAAAAUCAGAAUAUCCCAGUCAAAAGAUCGUUAGAGAGGCUGAAAGUGAUCUUCACCUAUUUUCCCAUCCCCCUUCUGAAGGCAAAGAGUUGACUUCCUUUUAAUGGUUUUCUUCCAAUACCUGACAGGGCAAUGUGCAGGAAAUUUAAAGAUUCGGAUACUGGUAGUUCCUCAGCCUCUGGGUCUCAUUUUGUCAGAUUGGGAGUAUAUUUUACCCAUGCUCAUUCUUGGUGCUGGACUCUCCCAUUGUGGAGUUUCUAUUUGGACUGGAUAUGCUCCGAAAACACCAGGUACCAUUCUCAGUUGCACUCUCUGAUAUCAUUUCCUUCAGUUGUUGCUCGAAGCUGCUAUUCUUAUAGAGAAAGACAUACCAUCUCGGCUUUUAGAUGAGGAAAAGUAUGCUAAGGAAGCUUCUGGCUCUGGUGGCCAUGAUACGAUUCGUACUAGAAGUAAGAAAAGUACAAAACCUCUUCUUGAAGGAUUAAAUGAAAGGAGGGGGAAGAAAGUCAGAAGACCAUCUAGAGAAUUAUUCCUUUCUCCUGAAGGACUUUUGCAACCCUCACCAGAAGCAUUUAACUAGAGCACAUAAGAGAUGGCUGAGGAGGAAGCUCCUAGAAGACGUACUCUGGCGGAUGCUACUGCUAUUGUUGGCACUCAACAUUUUACUAGUAUUGCAAGGCCGAGGAUCAAUGCUUUGAACAUGGAGAUGAAGCCGGCGUUGACUCACUUGGUGUAGAGCAACUAAUUUAAUGGACUGCCACAUGAAAGUCCAUAUGAUCAUCUUACCACGUUUAAUGAGAUUUGCAACAUGGUGAAGAUCAAUGGUGUGACAGAUGAGAUGAUUAAACUUAGCUUGUUUCCUUUCUCAUUGGGAGGCAAUGCUAAAUUGUGGUUGAAUUCGUUUCCGGAGGAUAGCUUUACUACUUGGGAGGCUGUGGUGGCAAAAUUUUUUAAUAAAUAUUUUCCACAGUCUAAGAUUAACUAGGCCAAGCAUGAGACAAAUUUAAAAGUUUGCUGAGAAACACACAUGUGCAUGGUUUUGAUGAGACAACUGUAGUUCUCACGUUUCUUAGAGGUCUUGGUACAUAGUCAAAGCUUAUGCUAGAUGCCUCAACUGAAGGUAAUAUCAAGAGAAAGACUGUUGAUGAGGCCUGUGAGUUGAUUGAAAGCAUGGAAGCAAACGAGAAUGAAAAUCAUAAUGAAAGGGGCGCGACAAUUCAAAAAAGGGGAGUUCUUCAAUUGCCCACUGAAGAUGCCUUGCUUGCACAGAACAAGCUUUUAACUAAACAAUUAGAGAGUCUGACAAAGACUAUUGCUCAACUGCCGAUUGAAUUAAAGAAUAUUUCUCAGGUACAACAACAACUUUGUGAUCGUUGUGGUCGUGACCAUAUCAAUGGUCAAUGUGCUUUUCCAGAGGAAGCCCAAGAAGAAGAAGCAAAUUACAUGGGCAACCAGUUUCAAUACCGCCAGGGUAACUUUAACCAAGGUAAUUACAACCAAGGUUGGAAGAAUCACCCUAGCAUUGGGCAAAGUCAGAAUAAUCAAACUGGACAACCUGGAGGCCAAUUUAAUAGACCGCAACAAUCACCACUAUGGCAACAGGUGGCUAAUUUGGCGGAUCAUGUCAAAAGUCUUGACGAGAAAUUUGAUAAAUUUAUGAAGGUGUAUGAUUCUAACUGCAAAGGAUUUUCAGGAAUGUAGAGACUCAAAUUGGUCAAUUAUCUAAAAGGGUGGAGGUCACAGAGAAACAUCAAUUUGGGGCUAAUACUAAAGUUAACCCUAGAGAAGAUUAGAAAGUUGUUGUGAGCAUAGUUGAGGAAAGAGUGGAGAAAGAAAUUGUUGAGUUAGAAAGAGGAAAAAGAAGAAAAAUGUAAGGGGGAGAAUAGAGAAUAAAAAGAGAAGAGGGAAGAGAAAAAAAUAGAAAAAGAUAAGAUAGAAAAAGAUAGAGAUAACGUGCAAUUGUAGGAUUUGUAAGAGAAGUGUUUAAAGAUGAUAAAGCAAUAACACACUUUUAUUUAUACUGGUUCACUCCACCGAGCUAUGUCCAAUCUCCUCUAAUACCUUAGAGGGUUCCAGUAUAAUCUUCAAUAAAAUUACAACUCAAUAUUCUCACCUCUUUUGGUAUCUCUAGUCACUCCAAUUAGCCACCAUUACUUUGACUAGAACCGAACUACACCCAUUCUUAGUUGUGCAAUAUUCUUCACCACUCUUAGUAUGACUAGCCAAUCAAAAUAUCUUCCCGAUAUGAUAUCUAGUUGAGUUUAACCCAAUCUUGGUUCCUACUAGAAAUACCCGUCUAGCUCCCGUUUAACUUGACCCAGUUAAACAUUACUAAGUUUGACGCACUCUUGGUUUCUACUAGACACAUCCAUCUAGCUAUCAUUUAACUUUACCAAGCUAAACGUAAAGUGUCUUAAUUGUCCUCAAAAUUUACAAUCAAAAGAUUGGUUACAAGUCUUUAAACGAUAACCCUCACAAAAAGGAUAUGUGUUCAACACAAUGCAAUCUAACAUACUCACUGAAUAUUUUCUCUCUUCUCUCUUCUUACAAAAGUAAGCUUUUAUGACAAUGAAUUCUUGAGCCUUUCUCUCUAAGAUAUUCUUAUAUGCUUUUUUAGCUUUUCUCUCGACAUUGUUUGCUUGAGCCUUUUUCUUCAAUAUGUUAUUCUCUUGAUUCUCUUUUUAAAUGUUCUUCUAUUUAAAUCCUGCUAAAAAAGAAAUCGAUUAGGUAGAGCUUUGCUUUGAUUUUUGAGUCUUCCUAGUCUUGUUGUGUGUAGCAGUCGUUGGUUAAAGUCAACUUGUCAAAGUAGGCAAACUUUUUCAGUACUUUAACAAAAGUAGGUAGUACAAUUUUCCUAGCAUGACUUUUGAUGAAGAGAACAUUCCGUGAAUGUCUUCUUUGUUCCCAACAUCCAUUUCUGAUUUGUAUAGGAUGGAGUAGGUGGAUGUGUGUAAUAGGCAAUAUGCACGAAGUAGAGUAGAUAUGCAUGUAGUAGAUAUAUCAUUUUUCUUAUCACUUUAUUUGUUUUUAAACAUUGAGCAUUUAAUGACAUUUAAUAUCAUUUUAGAUCAACAUUUUUUUUUUUUUACAUUUUCUACUGUUCAUAUAAGAUUUGAUCAUUUAAACUUUUUAUCAAGAUACCAAGUUGUUAAUGAAAAUUUCACCGUUGGAUAAAGUAGAUCGUUUGACACAUGGCAUCGUCUAGCCUAUGUAAACGAUUUUAGGUUCUUCUCUAUUAUAUUCAACAAAUGUGUUUGACAAUAUGUUUUACUACAUAAAUUUUUAGAAUAUUAUUUGAGACUUUUCAACAUGCUUCCUAAAUUAUUUGUCAAUUUUAUAUAUCAAGACAUAUUGAGAUUUUGUUUGAUUAUUAACUAGCGAUGUAUAACAUUUGCAUUCAGCAAGACUCUCAUUUGGGCAUUGACAGGGAAAUCGUUUAAAGGUGUAUUUAUUCUUACUAGGUGUUUUACUAAGAAUUUGCCUAAGCUCUUUGGGUUUCUUAGAGUAUUUUCACAAAUUGCUUAUAUUUUACCUAUGUUGUUAUUCUAAUGACAACACUCUCAUUUGCUCAUUUCACUUAAUGUUAUGUGUUAAACUUCAAAAUAACACAUGAGAACGUUUAGACAAUUUAAUUCUAUAGACAAUCUUGUCUUAACAGUUGGAUGAACUAAUCACUCAUCUUAUUUCACUAGCUUGGGAUUGAGUGGGAAUUAGUUCAAAGUUGUGGUCCAAAUUAAUUUUCCUCAUGCUUUUAAAUGGUAAGAACAUAUUUAAGGAACUAGUUCAUUAUAGAGUCUUGAUCUUAAUACAAGUGAUUCAUUCAAGGAUUCAUUGAGGGAUCAUAUUGAAGUCUUGAGAUCUCAGACUCUAAGUGCCAGGAAUAGACCUAAACUUACAUUCAAAGAGAACUCACAGGACAUGAUUAAUCAUAUUUUUAUAAAUAACAAUUGAACCUUUACAAGAGAUGGACAAAGUGGGGAAAUCUAAUUUCAACACGCUUUGAUUAUCUUGAAGUCAAUCCUUUUUAAUUCCAAACUAUUUUACAAAGCAUAUUGCUAAAAUAACUUUGUUUUCUUGUAUUAAUUUAGUUUCCACACUCUUUAUGUGCCUUUUAUUGUUAUAUUCAAAGUGAAGCUGGUUUAGAACAUUGUGUUUUCUUCCAAAUCUUUGUAGAUAUGACUCUUGUUGUACUAUAAACUACCCAAUAUACUUACUGGGAAAAUUGAUUGCCUUUGAACCAUCAUCAAUGCCUAAGAUUGUGAGCGUUCAAAUCCCUAAGCGGAUUAUAAUUAGUAUAAAAAGUACGAUGGAUUAAUUGAUGCAGAUGCGCACAUUAAAGCCUACUUGACUUAGUCCAACUUUUUCUACAUGAUAUAUGGAAGUACAUUGUCUUCUCUUGGCAAACUUUCUUAUGGGACGAGCCUUGGUAUUAUUCCCUUAAUUGGUGUAAUACUUUUUCAAUACAUCAUUGUUGAACAAAAUCUUUGAUCCCCGACAACGACACCAAAAACUUGUUAGGUUUGAAUCGACAAGUGUACCGAGUCACACAAGUAAUAUAAAAUGGUAAGACCAAGUAUCGUAUCCUAAAGGACUCUUGGCGCUAAACAGUUGUGUGAUAACAAGAUUAAUUAAGACUUAAAAAGAGGUAAUUGGGUUUGGGAAAAAAUAAUAAGAUAAAAUAAAAUAAAAUUGAUCAGUGGUAAAGGAGCACAUAGAUGAACAAAGGUUGAUUUAUAUGAGAUGGGUAUGUUGUUGGGGUUAGAUUUCACCGAGUUCCCUCUCAUUUAUAUAAGAAUUCUUCUUUAUGCAUUAAUGCCAUUGUCUCUCACUAAAUUACCUACCUCGACCCCUCGGUGAAUAAGCCCGUCCCUAAUUAAUGUCCUUCAGGUGCCUUUUUACGCCCUUCUGAGUUCCAUCUUCUUUGCUUUUCAUCUCUUCUUCCAGUAUUACUUCAAUCUCUGUCAAAAGAAAGAGAAUUAGUCAUAAAAUCA